ACGGCUCAGUAACACGUAGUCAAUCUACCCUAUGGACGGGAAUAACCUCGGGAAACUGAGAAUAAUGCCCGAUAGAACAUUAUGCCUGGAAUGGUUUAUGUUUCAAAUGAUUUAUCGCCAUAGGAUGGGACUGCGGCCUAUCAGUUUGUUGGUGAGGUAAUGGCCCACCAAGACUAUUACAGGUACGGGCUCUGAGAGGAGUAGCCCGGAGAUGGGUACUGAGACACGGACCCAGGCCCUAUGGGGCGCAGCAGGCGAGAAAACUUUGCAAUAUGCGAAAGCACGACAAGGUUAAUCCGAGUGGUUUCUGCUAAAGAAACCUUUUGUCAGUCCUAGAAACACUAACGAAUAAGGGGUGGGCAAGUUCUGGUGUCAGCCGCCGCGGUAAAACCAGCACCUCAAGUGGUCAGGAUGAUUAUUGGGCCUAAAGCAUCCGUAGCCCGUUUUGUAAGUUUUCGGUUAAAUCCAUGCGCUUAACGUAUGGGCUGCCGGGAAUACUGCAUAACUAGGAAGUGGGAGAGGUAGACGGUACUCGGUAGGAAGGGGUAAAAUCCUUUGAUCUAUUGAUGACCACCUGUGGCGAAGGCGGUCUACCAGAACACGUUCGACGGUGAGGGAUGAAAGCUGGGGGAGCAAACCGGAUUAGAUACCCGGGUAGUCCCAGCUGUAAACUACGCAAACUCAGUGAUGCAUUGGCUUAUGGCCAAUGCAGUGCUGCAGGGAAGCCGUUAAGUUUGCCGCCUGGGAAGUACGUACGCAAGUAUGAAACUUAAAGGAAUUGGCGGGGGAGCAC
Molecule: ribosomal RNA, 793 nt
Filed under: uncultured archaeon
Lineage: Archaea
Description: bacterial SSU rRNA
Rfam family: Archaeal small subunit ribosomal RNA
Source: RNAcentral